GGCCUAACACAUGCAAGUCGAGCGGUAACAGAUUGAUAGCUUGCUAUCAAUGCUGACGAGCGGCGGACGGGUGAGUAAUGCCUGGGAAUAUGCCCUGAUGUGGGGGAUAACUAUUGGAAACGAUAGCUAAUACCGCAUAAUCUCUUCGGAGCAAAGAGGGGGACCUUCGGGCCUCUCGCGUCAGGAUUAGCCCAGGUGGGAUUAGCUUGUUGGUGGGGUAAUGGCUCACCAAGGCAACGAUCCCUAGCUGGUCUGAGAGGAUGAUCAGCCACACUGGAACUGAGACACGGUCCAGACUCCUACGGGAGGCAGCAGUGGGGAAUAUUGCACAAUGGGGGAAACCCUGAUGCAGCCAUGCCGCGUGUAUGAAGAAGGCCUUCGGGUUGUAAAGUACUUUCAGUUGUGAGGAAGGCAGUAAAGUUAAUAGCUUUACUGUUUGACGUUAGCAAACAGAAGAAGCACCGGCUAACUCCGUGCCAGCAGCCGCGGUAAUACGGAGGGUGCGGAGCGUUAAUCGGAAUUACUGGGGCGUAAAGCGCAUGCAGGUGG
This 549-nucleotide ribosomal RNA is filed under the name uncultured Photobacterium sp. Its description in RNAcentral is "bacterial SSU rRNA". It matches the Rfam family "Bacterial small subunit ribosomal RNA", at positions 45 to 578 of the family's 1533-position model. Lineage: Bacteria; Pseudomonadati; Pseudomonadota; Gammaproteobacteria; Vibrionales; Vibrionaceae. The record is from RNAcentral.